RNAcentral lists this small RNA (137 nucleotides) under Escherichia coli. RNAcentral describes it as "RtT sRNA". It matches the Rfam family "RtT RNA". Rfam says of the family: This family represents a bacterial cis-regulatory element known as RtT RNA. The exact function of RtT is unknown although it is thought that it may be involved in changing the cellular response in relation to amino acid starvation. The record is from RNAcentral. Lineage: Bacteria; Pseudomonadati; Pseudomonadota; Gammaproteobacteria; Enterobacterales; Enterobacteriaceae.
GUUUGCACUCAUCGGGGAAGGGUGAGAACCUUCGACUAAGGUUCGAUUCGAUUCGAGCGAAAGCGAGAGAACGUUGCCACAGGCAACGGCCCGAAGGGUGAGGAGCGAAGCGACGAAUAAUCCUUCCCCCACCACCA